Molecule: long non-coding RNA, 1212 nt
Filed under: Homo sapiens (human)
Lineage: Eukaryota; Metazoa; Chordata; Mammalia; Primates; Hominidae
Description: long non-coding RNA NONHSAT183330.1
Source: RNAcentral
CAGAGCCGAACAAGCAGACUAGGCACCCAAGCCUAGCAUGCAUUUUAGAGAGUGGACACAGGAAAUACGUGCUCUAGUCUGAGGAAUCAAAAAAGCAUAUAUCCAUCUAAAGGGUCUGAAAUGAAGUAUUCACCAGCAACCCACAGGAAGGCUUGCUUUGGCUAAUCUAUGGUCAAGACAGAAACAAAUUUCAACACCGUGAAAACUGGGACUCAUUGGAGAUGGCAUAGAGGCAGAAAAGACUGAGCGAGUUGUGGAAAAGGCUGAGCAGGAAGAGGAAGCAGAAGAAUGGUAGAAGGAUGUUCAGUGAGGUGUUGCCAUGCAAGGGCAAGGUUAUUAGAGCUGCUGCAGCCAUCUUGUGACAAUAAAAGAGAACCAAGAGGAUUUCAGAAAUACCAUCCCACAUCCUGACAUUAUGUAGCUUCUGAACCAUCUAUCUCCAUGGAUCUUGCUAUGUGAGGAAAAUCUACACACCUGCAAAGUCCCUUUUGCCACGACAUUCAAACCCCAAAUUUAUACUGAGUGCAUACUACAUUCAAGAUACUCUAUGAGGUUGGAAUAAAAUGGAUUUCUGAAUAAUCACCUUCAUCCUAAAUGAGUCUACCUGGGAAGAAAAAGCUAUUAAGCCAUCAAUGUACCCCCUCCUCCUUCCUCACCUAGGUAUUAGAACAAAAUGUUUGCAAACCAAUGACCUCAUUUUCAGGUCAUCGGAAGAAACAAAAACAAGCUGUGGUGAAGAAGAAACGUUUUCUAAAGCCUCUUUUAUCCCCAGGAUGGUUGAGAAGUCAGAGGCCUGCAAUGCUAGGAAGAGAGGGUCUAAAGUGGCCUUUUCACCGUGAUGUAAGUAGGCUCUCCAGCAGUCCCAGAAGACUUUCACAAGAAGAGUUUCAACAACAGAAAAUAAGCCUAAGUGAUUGUGUGGAUAUCACAGAGCAACAGAGAAAAUGUAGAUCACUCCAGUUCUAGCACAAGGUCGGGGAGGAAAAAGAAUCAGAGAGUUUGGAAUUUCUAAAUGCUCGUGUUUGAGAAAUGGGGAGCAUCACAAACUAACAGCAGAGGUGGACAUUUUUUACAGGGUAAAGGAUUCCCAUGGAACACCACUCGUCAAAUGCAAAUAAAAAUUGUACAAAGAAGGUAACUUCUUUCUCUGUCCCCACAUCUCUCCAUCUGAAACUUCAUUCUUCCAUUAAAACAGAAUUGUGCUUUGUGAUG